RNAcentral lists this long non-coding RNA (265 nucleotides) under Homo sapiens (human). RNAcentral describes it as "LHRI_LNC931.1". Lineage: Eukaryota; Metazoa; Chordata; Mammalia; Primates; Hominidae. The record is from RNAcentral.
GCCAAGGCCCAGAAUGUGGCAAGGCAAGGGUUAAAAAGAAAAGAAGAACAAGUUUUCUUUUGCUUAGCAAGCUCACUUUAAGGACAGUUAUAAGAUAACGCUGUUCUGUUUGAGAAGUCGAAUCCAAAGGAAUAGGCUCCAGACACCCCCCUUCCAGAGCAGGGGUGAAGAAAAAAAAAAAAGAGGACAAAUAUCUGUGUUUAGCCAGUUCUUGGUUUUUUCUUUCAACGCAGCUACAAGGCCACCAGCUAUGCAAGGCCACAAG